RNAcentral lists this transfer RNA (29 nucleotides) under Aeschynanthus longiflorus. Its description in RNAcentral is "partial transfer RNA-Phe". The record is from RNAcentral. RNAcentral also lists the same sequence under 2 other names. Lineage: Eukaryota; Viridiplantae; Streptophyta; Magnoliopsida; Lamiales; Gesneriaceae.
UGGUCGGGAUAGCUCAGCUGGUAGAGCAG